This 1335-nucleotide ribosomal RNA is filed under the name uncultured bacterium. RNAcentral's name for it is "bacterial SSU rRNA". It matches the Rfam family "Bacterial small subunit ribosomal RNA", at positions 27 to 1381 of the family's 1533-position model. The record is from RNAcentral.
GGAUGAACGCUAGCGGCAGGCCUAAUACAUGCAAGUCGUACGGCAACACAGUUGCGAGCAAUCGCAACCGGUGGCGAGUGGCGCACGGGUGAGUAACGCGUAUGUAACCUACCCUUCUCCGGGACAUAACUCCGCGAAAGCGGUGCUAAUAUCCCAUACCAACUCAUCAAGACAUCUUCUUGAGUUGAAAGCAGCAAUGCGGUGAAGGAUGGGCAUGCGUCCCAUUAGCUGGUUGGUGAGGUAAUGGCCCACCAAGGCUACGAUGGGUAGGGGUUCUGAGAGGAAAGCCCCCCACACUGGUACUGAGACACGGACCAGACACCUACGGGUGGCAGCAGUAGGGAAUAUUAGUAAUGGGCGAAAGCCUGAACUAGCAACGCCGCGUGUGCGAAGAAGGCCUUCGGGUUGUAAAGCACUUUUUGAGAGGAUGAGGAAGGACGGUACUCUCAGAAUAAGUCUCGGCUAACUACGUGCCAGCAGCCGCGGUAACACGUAGGAGGCAAACGUUAUCCGGAUUUACUGGGCGUAAAGCGCGUGUAGGUGGUUUGGUAAGUAGGGCGUGAAAGCUCCUGGCUCAACUGGGAGAGGACGUUCUAAACUGCCAAGCUUGAGGAUGGUAGAGGGAGGUGGAAUUCCGGGUGUAGCGGUGGAAUGCGCAGAUAUCCGGAGGAACACCAGUGGCGAAGGCGGCCUCCUGGACCACUCCUGACACUCAGACGCGAAAGCUAGGGUAGCAAACGGGAUUAGAGACCCCGGUAGUCCUAGCCCUAAACGAUGUAGACUUGGCGUCGGUGGUUUAAUCGCCAUCGGUGUCGUAGCUAACGCGUUAAGUCUACCGCCUGGGGACUACGGCCGCAAGGUUAAAACUCAAAGGAAUUGACGGGUCCCCGCACAAGCAGCGGAGCGUGUGGUUUAAUUCGAUGCUACACGAAGAACCUUACCUGGGUUUGACAUAGAGGUAGUAGGGAAGCGAAAGCGGACCGACCCUUCGGGGAGCCUCUACAGGUGUUGCAUGGCUGUCGUCAGCUCGUGUCGUGAGAUGUUCGGUUAAGUCCGCUAACGAGCGCAACCCUCGCUGUGUGUUACAAGUGUCACACGGUACUGCCGAUAUUAAGUCGGAGGAAGGUGGGGAUGACGUCAAGUCAGCAUGACCGUUAUAUCCAGGGCUACACACACGCUACAAUGGCCAGUACAAUGGGUUGCCAAGCCGCGAGGCGAAGCCAAUCCUAAAAAGCUGACCUCAGUUCAAAUUGCAGUCUGCAACUCGACUGCAUGAAGUUGGAGUUGCUAGUAACCGCAGGUCAGCAAUACUGCGGUGAAUACGUUCCCGGGGAU